This 253-nucleotide ribosomal RNA is filed under the name uncultured bacterium. RNAcentral's name for it is "partial 16S ribosomal RNA". It matches the Rfam family "Bacterial small subunit ribosomal RNA", at positions 524 to 776 of the family's 1533-position model. The record is from RNAcentral.
UACGUAGGGGGCGAGCGUUGUCCGGAUUUACUGGGCGUAAAGCGCGUGUAGGCGGUCUGUCAAGUCCGGGGUGAAAGGCGGGGGCUCAACCCCCGAGCGGCGCCGGAAACUGGCAGACUUGAGUGUCGGAGAGGGGAGUGGAAUUCUCGGUGUAGCGGUGAAAUGCGUAGAGAUCGAGAGGAACACCCGUGGCGAAGGCGGCUCCCUGGCCGAACACUGACGCUGAGACGCGAAAGCGCGGGGAGCGAACGGG